AGAGCUGGACGGGCACUGGGCGACUCUGUGCCUCGCUGAGGAAAAAUAACUAAACAUGGGCAAAGGAGAUCCUAAGAACCCGAGAGGCAAAAUGUCAUUAUACGCAUUCUUUGUGCAAACUUGCCGGGAGGAGCACAAGAAGAAGCACCCAGAUGCUUCAGUCAACUUCUCAGAGUUUUCUAAGAAGUGCUCAGAGAGGUGGAAGACCAUGUCUGCUAAAGAGAAAGGAAAAUUUGAAGAUAUGGCAAAGGCGGACAAGGCCGUUAUGAAAGAGAAAUGAAAACCUAUAUCCCUCCUAAAGGGGAAACAAAAAAGAAGUUCAAGGAUCCCAAUGCACCCAAGAGGCCUCCUUCGGCCUUUUUCUUGUUCUGUUCUGAGUAUUGCCCUAAAAUCAAAGGAGAACAUCCUGGCCUAUCCAUUGGUGAUGUUGCAAAGAAACUGGGAGAGAUGUGGAAUAACACUGUGUUUGUCAGCACAGAAAUAGGGGAGGAGGGUGAGCUCAUCCUAGAAACUGAAAGGCAGAUGGUGAAGAAUGAGGAGUGGUCCUGUGCGUCUGCGCUCUGGCUAAGAAGUACAGACGUAGAGCCGCAGCGUGAGGGUUUGCACGCAGCGGUGGGAGUGAGUUAG
RNA transcript from Propithecus coquereli (Coquerel's sifaka), 627 nucleotides. It is a transcript of the gene named high mobility group protein B1 pseudogene, with no coding region annotated. The record is from RefSeq and is a predicted model, not a curated record. Lineage: Eukaryota; Metazoa; Chordata; Mammalia; Primates; Indriidae. The transcript is spliced from 2 exons.